RNAcentral lists this ribosomal RNA (440 nucleotides) under uncultured bacterium. RNAcentral describes it as "partial 16S ribosomal RNA". It matches the Rfam family "Bacterial small subunit ribosomal RNA", at positions 338 to 795 of the family's 1533-position model. The record is from RNAcentral.
CCUACGGGGGGCAGCAGUGGGGAAUAUUGGACAAUGGGGGAAACCCUGAAGCAGCGACGCCGCGUGAGGGAGGAAGGAUUUCGGGAUGGAAAGCUCUAUCAGCAGGGAAGAAAAUGACGGUACCUGACGAAGAAGCUCCGGCUAACUACGUGCCAGCAGCCGCGGUAAUACGUAGGGGGCAAGCGUUAUCCGGAUUUACUGGGUGUAAAGGGAGCGUAGACGGGAUUGCAAGUCAGAUGUGAAAACCCGGGGCCCAACCCCUGAACUGCAUUGGAAACUGUAUGUCUGGAGUGAAGGAGAGGCAGGCGGAAUUCCUGGUGUAGCGGUGAAAUGCGUAGAUAUCAGGAGGAACACCAGUGGCGAAGGCGGCUUGCUGGACGAUGACUGACGUUGAGGCUCGAAAGCGUGGGUAGCAAACAGGAUUAGAUACCCUAGUAGUC